Molecule: long non-coding RNA, 429 nt
Filed under: Linum usitatissimum (flax)
Lineage: Eukaryota; Viridiplantae; Streptophyta; Magnoliopsida; Malpighiales; Linaceae
Description: long non-coding RNA (LUSI_LNC003656)
Source: RNAcentral
ACCUCGAAACGGGCAGGCAUCGCAAUUACCCUUGGAGAUCCGAACAGCAUAGAACAAUCUGGGCAGAAACAAUUAACAAAAAGACUGAGAAGAAAUUUCAACACAAGGCAAGCAUAGAAACAACACAAAACAUUUGGUUUACCAUUAUCCAUCGCAAUAAUCUUCAUGAACUCAUCCACAUCCAUCGCUCGAGUCUGAGCUUUGAUGCACUCAUCAUGAUUGUGUAAGAGCCCUUCUUCUGCAAUCCCACACUCUCGAGCCAGUGGCUGCUCCUCACACAGACAUUCCUUAACCUGAGUCUUCUUAGACGUCUCCUUCUGUAACUUGACCGAAUUCAAGAUGUCAGAGAGAACCUUCCGAUUCCUAGAAGCUUUAUCCCCAAUACUGACAGAAACCUUCUUGGAGGUUUGGUUCAGAGAAGCAGACGAC